CAGUCCACAUUAAGCGUAGUGGUCCUAACAGGAGUGCUUUCCAAAAAUGGUUCUUACUUUUCUUUCACUUCGCAUAUUAGGGUAUAUCUUUGAGUGUCGGAAAUCAAAUGAUGAUUAAUUAGUUGAUUGCUCAUAAUGUAUCUCUACUUAUAUGUCUCUAUAGCAGUGAAACUUGUGGCAUUUCCGUGGCAGUCGCUUUGACUGACAUGUAUUAAUUGACAGAUUUUGUACUAACGAAAUAGAAUUACCAUUGGAGGAAAACAAGUGUUAAAGUACUGAGGCGUGAAGACCAACCCAGAUCUAUCGGCUUUUUGGAUUUCAUAACAUGAUGGAUGAUAAUGAACUUGAAGUGGAUGGAAAAGCUAUUGAGAUGUGGAAAAGCAUGUCAAAGGAGGUACUUCAUUUGGAUCGAUUGAUGGUACUAAAGCUUUUAGUUGCGUUUCUUACUCAUUACUGUGCUCCUGUUCAAAUAUGCAAUGUGUUUGAAUCGAUCACCAGAUAUUGGGAAACCGUAUUCCCAUGGAUGCCGAGAAAAAUUUCUUGAGACAAAAAAUCCAACCUCUGACUGAUACAUGGUUAUGGAAGGCAAGUCAAGAUGUGGCUAUUGUGAGCAGUAGUUAUUCUACAAGUUAAUGUUAGUUUAUAACUAGUAUAUGUGCAUGUUCAUUUGAUGGACUUCAAGAAUCAUAUUGUUGUAUUUUGGAAAUGACAGGGGAUCAUGAAUUCAUUUGAUGGGCAAGAAGAAAUACAUGUACCUAUUUUGGAGAUAACAGUGGAUUUUUAUGAUAUGUUUAAAAUUUAAAAU
This is a long non-coding RNA of Nicotiana attenuata, 805 nucleotides long. RefSeq lists it as uncharacterized. The record is from RefSeq and is a predicted model, not a curated record. Lineage: Eukaryota; Viridiplantae; Streptophyta; Magnoliopsida; Solanales; Solanaceae. The transcript is spliced from 3 exons.